This 621-nucleotide ribosomal RNA is filed under the name Triticum aestivum (bread wheat). RNAcentral's name for it is "partial small subunit ribosomal RNA". The record is from RNAcentral. Lineage: Eukaryota; Viridiplantae; Streptophyta; Magnoliopsida; Poales; Poaceae.
AUGUUUAAAUUUGCAGAUAAACUUUUCAAUGCACUUUCCAAGAGGUGCAUAUGUUGUUCCAUUAGAGGCUUUUUUGAUUGUCCAGCAAGAGCUAUCCCAGAACCACAAGCUAUGACCGCCACGACACCUGCUCGCCCCAACAUACCCGGUGUCAGGCUGGACAUGUCUGCAUGUGAAGGUGAUAGCUCUACCUCCAAGAGAACUCGUUGCGGGGAUACACCUGAUCCCAUGCGCAAGCGCCACUGCUCUGAAGGGGAAUCUCCCGCAGAUAUCAACAUGUCGAUUGUUCGUUUUGCCCAGUUCACCUUGCGAGCAAUCAGUGAACUAUUCAUCAAUCUGCCCAAUGAUGGUAGUACUACAGUUUUCGGUGAGCGGCGGGAAGAGCUACCUGGCCGCAAGUAUGUUCAGCACCCUGGGUUCCAAACUGAUCCUUGGGGCAGGGGUGUCGUCCCGCCACCCCCCUGCAAUGAUAUAUCUGAACUUAUCCUUCAGUUUUUUGCAUCGUCAUCCGUGCAAGAACUAUCGAGGAAUUUCCUGGUUCAUGAGAUGCCGAGGUUUGCACGCGUCACUGGAGUGGCAAUNNNNNNNNNNNNNNNNNNNNNNNNNNGAGACCCUAAUUGA